AACUGUCGUUCUUGAGUACUGGAGAGGCAGACGGAAUUCCUAGUGUAGCGGUGAAAUGCGUAGAUAUAGGGAGGAACACCAGUGGCGAAGGCGGUCUGCUGGACAGCAACUGACGCUGAGGCGCGAAAGCGUGGGGAGCAAACAGGAUUAGAUACCCUGGUAGUCCACGCUGUAAACGAUGGAUACUAGGUGUGGGGGGACUGACCCCCUCCGUGCCGCAGUUAACACAAUAAGUAUCCCACCUGGGGAGUACGAUCGCAAGGUUGAAACUCAAAGGAAUUGACGGGGGCCAGCACAAGCGGUGGAGUAUGUGGUUUAAUUCGAAGCAACGCGAAGAACCUUACCAGGGCUUGACAUCCCGAGGCCCGGGCUAGAGAUAGCCUUUUCUCUUCGGAGACCUCGGUGACAGGUGGUGCAUGGUUGUCGUCAGCUCGUGUCGUGAGAUGUUGGGUUAAGUCCCGCAACGAGCGCAACCCUUAUUGUUAGUUGCUACGCAAGAGCACUCUAGCGAGACUGCCGUUGACAAAACGGAGGAAGGCGGGGACGACGUCAAAUCAUCAUGCCCCUUAUGUCCUGGGCCACACACGUACUACAAUGGUGGUUAACAGAGGGAGGCAAGACUGCGAAGUGGAGCAAAUCCCUAAAAGCCAUCUCAGUUCGGAUUGCAGGCUGCAACCCGCCUGCAUGAAGUUGGAAUCGCUAGUAAUCGCGGAUCAGCAUGCCGCGGUGAAUACGUUCCCUGGCCUUGUACACACCGCCCGUCACACCAUGAGAGUCGGGAACACCCGAAGUCCGUAGCCUAACCGCAAGGGGGGCGCGGCCGAAGGUGGGUUCGAUAAUUGGGGUGAAGUCGUAACAAAGGUAGCCGUAAAGCC
RNAcentral lists this ribosomal RNA (875 nucleotides) under uncultured bacterium. RNAcentral describes it as "bacterial SSU rRNA". It matches the Rfam family "Bacterial small subunit ribosomal RNA", at positions 631 to 1509 of the family's 1533-position model. The record is from RNAcentral.